GAGAAAAAUAGGGUGCAGAGCUUAAGGCAUCCUGGAAAAACGUAUGUAGCGCCACAUCGCGAAAAUCUCUCUUCUAGGACCCCUCUCCCAAAACCGUUUCUUCGCCCUCUUCUCCCCCUUCUGCCUCCACUCUUUCUGGACUUCAGAUAUCUUUGAGAAGCCUGGACAUCAAUCUGCUUUAGAAGACUAGAAACUCUGCCUUUAUGUCUUUAAGGGAACAAUAGUCCUUAACUUUGAUACUGUGGCUCUUUAGCUCUUUUUUUCCCUAUAUUUUUAAUAUAGUUUUUUGGUAUUAUUUAGACCUCCUUAACCCCACGGUCAUAAAGGUAUUCUCCCAUCAUUUUUUUCUAUCCAUUAGCUUCAUAGUUUUACUUUUUUACAUUCAGUUAUCUAAUCCAUCUGGAGUUCUCCUUCCCAUAUGGUGUGAGAUAGGGAUCUAACUAUAUUUUUCUCCAUGGGGUGAGCAAAUUUUCCAACAACCCAUGUCAAACAAUCCAUUCUUUCCAAAUUGGUUUGGGGAAGUUUCCAAAUAGACAUGAGUAUGUUCUGAGCUCUCUGGUUUGUUCAUGUGUCAGUACCACAAGGUUUUGUCACUGUGGGUUUUUAGUUAGUCAUCAUGCUUGAAGGCCAAGUUCCCCAUUCCAAAUUCUUCUGUGUCAAGAUUGCUUUGUCUAUCCAUGGGCCUUUAUCCUCCCUUAUAAUUUUUAGAGUAAGUUUGUCAAGUUUAUGAGAACUGUGUUGGACUGAUGAAUAAAUUCAAGGAAAAGUGGCA
Molecule: long non-coding RNA, 772 nt
Filed under: Pan troglodytes (chimpanzee)
Lineage: Eukaryota; Metazoa; Chordata; Mammalia; Primates; Hominidae
Description: long non-coding RNA NONPTRT002339
Source: RNAcentral